AGUGCAGAGCUGGAGGAAAGAGCUGAAAGGCAAGAGUCCAAACUUUCCCGCGGCGACCUAACUGCACCUCCAGUGUCUUCCCCCAGAGGGCACAGAAGCAGCAAGAAGGGCGGGAACACUUGACUGGGGUCCAUGCAGCUCUAGGCUGAGUCUUGCAGGGCUGAGCCCCCCAGGCCUGCUCUCCUGUGUCCUGGCCGCUCCGUCAGUGCCUGCCAGUGGGGUCCAGAGGGACCGUUUUUUUAACGCCUCUUUUGCAGUGAGAUGCGCCUACUUCUCCCUGGAGAAGCUUGAGGAAGCAGAAAUGCUGGAGAUGAGCUGCUCCUCACUCUCACUCCUGGGUGUGCUGGGCAGUGGGGUGCAAUGUGCACGUAGGUGCACACUCUCCCUGGGCGGCAGCGAGCAGCAGAGGUCUGAUCUGUGGUCGGAUGACGAGAGGAAGUGCAAGUAAAGCAGCUGCAGCGAGACCUCGUCCGCACAGGGGCUUGUUCUUCUGUGUCUUUGCAGGGCUGUUUUGGACUCAGUAUUCACCUAAGCACUCCAAAUUACCCAGCACACCCUGCCUGCAUGGCGCUGCGCUGCACCUUCACUCUGGUCACGGGUCUGGCAGUCAGCUCACCAAUUCCUCCUGCUUCCCUGGGACUUGCCGGCUUUUAGCACUGCAAUUCACUCAGCAAACUGGGACUGUUGGUCACCCUACCUGGCAGCCAGUGAUAAGGUGAGGGCCACUCCUGGGAGGGAGGACACCUGUGGGGAAAAUUCUUGUGUUAUUUAUUUCUCCUUCGGGAUAGGGUGCCUGCAGCGCUUCAUGGGAGGGGGUGGGCUGAUGCUGCGGGCUCAGAAGUUUCAAGGGCAUCUGGGGAGACCAGAUAUUCAGAGACCUUCUAGAUGUGCCUGUUCCAUGUAUCAGGGACGCAGGUUUUCCCAACAGGGCUGGUGUCAUUGGCAUGACAGACCUGCCUUGGCUGAGCGUUCACCUGUCUUUGGAGUUCAGCCACCUUAGCAAGUCCUGGGUUUGUUCUUCAGACUUUGCUGCUCGCCCAUUGCCUGGAUCGGGGGCUACUUUGUAAACCACCAGGAAGACUCCAGUGUUUCUGGUUAAUUUUUAGAUGUUUGUUAAUUGCUCUUGGUCUCUCAUUAAUCCCCUGUGGGUCAUCCAGGAAACAUACUCACCACUGUCUGUUCUCUGAGUUUUCAUUUCCAGGCAUCCGCCCUGCCUGGAUCUCCUCACCUGCCAGGAACUUCCUCUCCACAAGCCGGCCAUCCCAGCAAAAGUUCUAACACCAAAGGUCUGGCAACUAGCCUGCCAUCUUGUGCCUGGAGCCGCCUGCGUGCCACCUACUCCCGAAGAUGGGAACCUUGUUGCCAGUUGGGCAGAUGCGGGGCAAUCCUGUACCAAGACCCCAUUUUACCACCUGCUUUCUCAGACCACUCUGGAACCCACUGUCUCAGAUUGUGUCCUCCAGGAAGCAGACCAUGAGAGGGAGUUGGCAGGGCCAAAGAUUUACUGGGGCUAACUAACACUCAGGAAAGGGAUAGGAAGGAAACAGGGCUGGAGAGCAGGUUGAGCCCGACCUGACAGUCUCGAGCAGCCCAACAGGGAGGUGUGGAGCAAGGGUUGCCCACUAGAGGGGCCUGCAUUGGGUACGGGUGAUGGGGUCCACAUGGUACCUGGCAUAUAGCAGGCUGUGCAAUCCAUAUUAACUGACUGGAUAAAUUAAUGCCCAGAAAAGGUGCCCUGGAGAAUGGGUGUGUGCUGAACACAAUAGGGAAGGGCCCAGCAUCUGCCUUGGCAUAGGCAGAACUGUGCUGUGCCCUGCAACAGGCCACCUGAGAGCUGCUUUGAUCUUGUGUGUACAUUAGAUGACUGCCAGGGGCAUGAAGGGGAUGUGCUUCCAGGGCAUUUGCUGGCAGGGCGUCUCGUGAUCUCUUGGUAUUGGUGUGAGCACAGCCUGGCAGGAGAGGGCAGAUCUCCAUGCAAAGUAUGUCAGAAAGCAGAUGGAAGCCAGGCCCCCUCCUGAAAGAGGCUCCUUGAAGGCUCCUGGGACCACAUUAUCAUUCUCUUCACUCGAGAGAUGAGGACACUGAAAUUCAGAGAGGGGAAGUGAUUUGCCUCAGCUUGUACUAAAGAAACAUUUCAACAGAGAACCCAGUGGAAAUUAUGACAUGUUAUCUUCUCAGAGUCCUGAACUCCCAUCCCUACCUCAGAAGAGACUCCUCUGUUCACAGAAGCUAAAGGCAGUUCCUUCCCAAUGGCAACUAUGUUUGGAUGUUGGAUCUACACUUUCUCAAGCACUGUGAUCUUCAAAUCAAAGGAGAUUUCUCCCAUUAUAUACUUCUUAUGAUCAACAAAUUCCAUCAUCUCCCCACUAAGAGAAAGUACUCCAAGAUGAUAGAAUGAUUUUAAAGUUAUGGGACUACAACAGCAGCCACAGGAACCUUGAACUGCCAUCCAGGGCCAUGCAGCAAACAAGCAACAGGGAAAUAUCCCACUAUGCAAUCCUAUUUUGAGAUGAUAUUUAGGAUGAGAGAACAUGCAUUAGUUACCUACCAGCUUGACAGGAAUGGAUUUCCAAAUCUGACACACCAUAGCCUGAAUUCUCACCAGUUUGCUCCUGGAAAGGCCCGCUCAUGCAUGAGCCCCUGCCACUCUUCUAAAUAAGCUUCCAGGCAUUACCUGCAUGCUGUGUUCCUGUGGUGGGAUGGCAGUAAUCUCUGCUAAGAUAAACGGGAGCUUCUGUGGAUAAAGCAUAAACGCAGUGAAGUGUGUGUGGCUGGAAGAUUUAAUGCCUCUACAGUGCUUAGAUACAAGUUGAGCUUGGAAUUCCAGAGGUAGAGCACUGCUGAUUGGAGACAUAUUAAGUAAAAUGUACUGUGGAAAUGAGAUAAAACCUUUAUUCUUGCUAAUGAUUGUCAUUGUAUGUAUUCAGGUGUCCAACAAAGGAUUUUAGAAUAAAGUGUGCCUUUAAAGUUUC
This 2972-nucleotide long non-coding RNA is filed under the name Homo sapiens (human). Its description in RNAcentral is "non-protein coding LINC00894:51". Lineage: Eukaryota; Metazoa; Chordata; Mammalia; Primates; Hominidae. The record is from RNAcentral.